AGCUCACGCCUGUAAUCUCAGCACUUUGGGAGGCUGAGGCAGGUGGAUUGUUUGAGGUCAGGAGUUUGAGACCAGCCUGACCAACAUGGUGAAACCCUGUCUGUACUAAAAAUACAAAAAUUAGCCGGGCGCGGUGGCAGGCAUCUGUAAUUCCAGCUACUUGGGAGGCUGAGGCAUGAGAAUCACUUGAACUUAGGAGGCAGAGGUUGCAGUGAGCCGAGAUACACCACUGUACUCCGGCCUGGGCAAUAAAGCAAGACUUUGUCUCAAAAAAAAAAAAAAUAGUACAACUCACACAGAGGAGAAUUUGGCAGUUUCCAGUGAAACAAUGUAUGCCCCUAUCCUUUGAUCUAACCAUCAGAUUUUUAGGAAUUUUAGGAAUUUACCCUGAAGAUACUUCUACAAAUACCGAACAACGUAUAUAUAAGAUUAUCCAACUGCAGCGUUAUUUGCAUUAACAAAAUAAUGGAAAUACUCCCAAAUGCCUAUUCAAAGGAGUCUGAUUGAAUAGAUGAUGGUAGAUUCACACAAUAGAAUAUUAUGCAGCUAUGAAAAAGAAUGUGAAUGAUCUCUAUAAAUUAAUAUUAAGUGAUUUCCAGGAUAUACUAUUAAAUGAAUAAAGCAAGAUGCAGAAGAUAAUAUAGAGUAUGCCAACUUUUGCUUAGGAAUGACAAGGAAAUUAAAAAUAUGAGCAUACAUGUUUGCUUAUUUUUUAAAAAAGAAAAGAAACACAGGAAAUACAUUUCAGAAAUAAGUGAAAAGGGUUACCAAGAAGCGAUGGAUGAAAAUGAGACAGAAAGGAUACAGAUAAGAGCAAUGGGGAGAUAAUUUUUUUAAGCAAAGCCUAAUGUUGAACACAAAUAUAAAAAGUUAAUUGAACUUAGAAAUAAGGUAAGUAUGUCCCCUGUCUCAUCGCUGCUUUCAACAGUGUACUGAACGUCCUAGCUAAUGAAAUAAGACCCAAAAAGUAAGUAAAAUAUAUAGAUUGGGAGGGAAGAAAUGAAACUGUCUUGGUUCCCAGAUGACAUGAUCAUCUAUGUAGAAAAUCUGAAAGAGCAAUAAUAACAACAACAAAAACUCCUGGAACUAAUAAGCAAUUGUAGCAAGUUUGCACAAAACAAGGGUAAUAUACAAAAGUCAAUAACUUUCCUGCACACCAACAAUAAACAAGUGAAAUUUGAAAUUAAAAACACAUUACCAUUUACACUUACAUUGGCACCCAAAAAUGUGAAACAGGUAUAAAUCUAACAAAAUAUGUAAAGAUCUAUAUGAGGAAAACUACAAAACACAGGAAAAAUGUAAAAGAAGAACUAAAUAAAAGAAUAGAUAUUUCAUGCUGAUGAACAGGAACACUAAAUAUUGUAAAGGUAUUGGUUCUUCCAAAUUUGGCAUACAAAGUCAAUGCCAUCCCAAACAAAAUCCCAGUAAGUUAUUUUGUAGGUAUUGACAAACUGAUUCUAAAGUUUACAUAGAGAGGCAAAAAUCCCAGAAUAAUCAAUAAUACAAUAUUGAAGGAGGAAAACAAAGCUAGAGGACUGCCACUAUCUGACUCCAAGACUUACUCUGAAGCUACAGGAAUCAAGACAGGGUGGUAUUGUGAAAGAAUAGACAAAUAGAUGAAUGGAACAGAAUGGAGGCCCCAGAAACAGACCCAUAUAGAGAGACAUUUUUUACAAAGGAGCAAUGAUAAUACAAUAGAGGAAAGAUAGUCUUUUCAACAAAUGGUGCUGGGACAACUGAAUAUCCACAUGCCAAAAAAAAAAAAAAAAA
Macaca fascicularis (crab-eating macaque) is the source of this 1770-nucleotide long non-coding RNA. Lineage: Eukaryota; Metazoa; Chordata; Mammalia; Primates; Cercopithecidae. The record is from Ensembl.